This 449-nucleotide ribosomal RNA is filed under the name uncultured bacterium. Its description in RNAcentral is "bacterial SSU rRNA". It matches the Rfam family "Bacterial small subunit ribosomal RNA", at positions 330 to 793 of the family's 1533-position model. The record is from RNAcentral.
GCCAGACUCCUACGGGAGGCAGCAGUGGGGGAUAUUGCACAAUGGGGGGAACCCUGAUGCAGCGACGCCGCGUGGGUGAAGGAGCGUUUCGGCGCGUAAAGCCCUAUCGGCAGGGAAGAAGGAGGACGGUACCUGACUAAGAAGCCCCGGCUAACUACGUGCCAGCAGCCGCGGUAAUACGUAGGGGGCAAGCGUUAUCCGGAUUUACUGGGUGUAAAGGGGGCGCAGACGGCAGCGCAAGCCAGGAGUGAAAGCCCGGGGCCCAACCCCGGGACUGCUCUUGGAACUGCGCGGCUGGAGUGCAGGAGGGGCAGGCGGAAUUCCUGGUGUAGCGGUGAAAUGCGUAGAUAUCAGGAGGAACACCGGUGGCGAAGGCGGCCUGCUGGACUGCGACUGACGUUGAGGCCCGAAAGCGUGGGGAGCAAACAGGAUUAGAUACCCUAGUAAAA